Molecule: transfer RNA, 75 nt
Filed under: Bacteroidetes bacterium ADurb.Bin041
Lineage: Bacteria; Pseudomonadati; Bacteroidota
Description: tRNA-Glu
Rfam family: tRNA
About the family: Transfer RNA (tRNA) molecules are approximately 80 nucleotides in length. Their secondary structure includes four short double-helical elements and three loops (D, anti-codon, and T loops). Further hydrogen bonds mediate the characteristic L-shaped molecular structure. tRNAs have two regions of fundamental functional importance: the anti-codon, which is responsible for specific mRNA codon recognition, and the 3' end, to which the tRNAs corresponding amino acid is attached (by aminoacyl-tRNA synthetases). tRNAs cope with the degeneracy of the genetic code in two manners: having more than one tRNA (with a specific anti-codon) for a particular amino acid; and 'wobble' base-pairing, i.e. permitting non-standard base-pairing at the 3rd anti-codon position.
Source: RNAcentral
AGACCGUUGGAACAGCGGAAUGUUCGCAGGACUUUCACUCCUGAGACAUCGGAUCAUCCCCGAUACGGUCUACCA